Dehalococcoidia bacterium CG2_30_46_19 is the source of this 264-nucleotide non-coding RNA. NCBI's taxonomy places the organism in Bacteria, Bacillati, Chloroflexota, Dehalococcoidia. The record is from Rfam.
UCGUGCUAGGUGGGGAGCUAGCGGUGCCCUGAACCCGAAAUCCGCUAUAGCGGGGCUGAAUUCCUGCUUGAGAUUUCGAGGUGUAAGGUUGCUUUCUGCUAAGCGGCGGUGAAAUUUGGGUUCUAUGCGGUGGAGAACUAUGAACCCCGUCAGGUCCGGAAGGAAGCAGCGGUAAGUAGCUUUCUCCAGGUGACAUAGAGGUGCCUGGAUGGAGCUGGCUGGCAAAGGUAAUUUGCACCAUAGGAACCGAGAGCAGGUGCACGA